This 408-nucleotide ribosomal RNA is filed under the name uncultured bacterium. Its description in RNAcentral is "partial 16S ribosomal RNA". It matches the Rfam family "Bacterial small subunit ribosomal RNA", at positions 28 to 526 of the family's 1533-position model. The record is from RNAcentral.
GACGAACGCUGGCGGCGUGCUUAACACAUGCAAGUCGAACGAAGUGGCGAACGGGUGAGUAACGCGUAAUCAACCUGCCCUUCAGAGGGGGCCAACAGUUGGAAACUACUGCUAAUACCGCAUACUGAAGGAGGGGAUUGCGUCUGAUUAGCUAGUUGGAGGGGUAACGGCCAACCAAGGCGAUGAUCAGUAGCCGGUCUGAGAGGAUGAUCAGUCACACUGGAACUGAGACACGGUCCAGACUCCUACGGGAGGCAGCAGUGGGGAAUAUUGGACAAUGGGCGAAAGCCUGAUCCAGCCAUGCCGCGUGUGUGAAGAAGGUCUUCGGAUUGUAAAGCACUUUAAGUUGGGAGGCGUUACCAACAGAAUAAGCACCGGCUAACUUCGUGCCAGCAGCCGCGGUAAUUC